Molecule: ribosomal RNA, 450 nt
Filed under: uncultured bacterium
Lineage: Bacteria
Description: partial 16S ribosomal RNA
Rfam family: Bacterial small subunit ribosomal RNA
Source: RNAcentral
GUCGAGAAUAAUUCACAAUGGACGAAAGUCUGAUGGUGCAACGCCGCGUGGAGGAUGACGGUCUUCGGAUUGUAAACUCCUGUCAUCCGGGAGUAAGACCUGGCUGUGAAUAGCAGACAGGGUUGAUAGUACCGGAAGAGGAAGGGACGGCUAACUUCGUGCCAGCAGCCGCGGUAAUACGAAGGUCCCGAGCGUUGUUCGGAAUCACUGGGCGUAAAGGGAGCGUAGGCGGCGUGGUAAGUCAGAUGUGAAAUCCCGGGGCUCAACCCCGGAACUGCAUCCGAUUCUGCCGUGCUAGAGGAUUGGAGAGGUAGCUGGAAUUCUUGGUGUAGCAGUGAAAUGCGUGGAGAUCAAGAGGAACACUCGUGGCGAAAGCGAGCUACUGGACAAUAUCUGACGCUGAGGCUCGAAGGCCAGGGUAGCGAAAGGGAUUAGAAACCCGGGUAGUCC